RNAcentral lists this long non-coding RNA (1686 nucleotides) under Mus musculus (house mouse). Its description in RNAcentral is "long non-coding RNA chrX:109144096-109145782". Lineage: Eukaryota; Metazoa; Chordata; Mammalia; Rodentia; Muridae. The record is from RNAcentral.
UAAUGAACUGGUAACCCCAUAACAUUACCAGAUAGAGUCAAAUAUUGAACCUUUUCUACUGGUAGAGAAUCCUGAUUUGGAAGUGGCUGUUUCAGAUGUCUUGGUUUUUGUUUGUUUGUUUGUUGUUUUUUUCUUUGUUGUUGUUUUUUCUUUGAAUGCUGUGGAAAUUUGUUCAUUUGUGCACAUACUCAUUUGGAAAAUAAGAUGAAACCAUACUUUGUUACACAGAAUUCACAAUUAACAAGAACACAUAAAAAUAUUGCCUUGGAAAUAGUGUCUCUCACUAUGCUGCCCAGGUCUCAGGUCCUAGGCUCAUGUGAUUGUCAUCCUCUCACAAGGACCUGGAAAUAGAUGUGUAGCCACUGUGCCAGGGAGUAUUACUUCUUAAAAGAUUUUGUCAGUGUUAUAUAGAUUGCUUUCUAUAUCAUUUGUUUGAUUCUUUAAUGUGUGUGUGUGUGUGUGUGUGUGUGUGUGUGUGAAUGCCAGAGGAUAACUUGUGAAGGUUGAUUUUCUCUCUCCACUGUGUGAAGAUAGCCAGCUCAGAUUGUCUGGUUUGGCUGCAGGUGUCUACCCAAUGAGCCAUAUUAUUGGACUAAAAAUUUCUUAAAGAAAACAAACAUAGAAGGUAAAACGAAAGAAGGCAGGCAAAUGUAGUGAAAUAAUGUAAGAUUUGCUAUUAAAAGAUAUCUGAAUUUGAAUUUUAGUCUCGUCAUAUAUUGGUUUUGUGACUUUGAGUACAUUUCAUUAAUCACUAUGAGUCUUGGUAGUCUAAUCCAUAACAUGAAAAUCAAGAUACCUGCCCUACAGGAUAUUUUGAAUAGGAAGUGGACAUGAAGCAAUAACUGUAAUGUUAGUUAACUAACUUUCUCUUCAUUGCCAUCCAUCUACAGUGAUAACUAAUAGUGGUAUAAAUAAGAAGCCAAAUCUGUUUCCAGCAGUUUACGUAUUUAUUUUUUUCCUUAUCUAUGUGCAUGGGUCUUUUGACUGCAUCUGUAUGUGCACAAUGUGACUGCUUGGUAUCUGUGGGAUCUAGAAGAAGGUGUUGGAUCUCCACAUGGAACUGGAGUUACUUGUGACUGAGUCACUAUGUUUGUGUUUGUGUUUGCCUGUGUGUGAAUGCAGUGCUGGGAAGUAAACUUGGGACCUCUGUAAGAGCAGCAAGUGCUCUUAACUGCUGAGCCAGUUCUCUAACAACUCCUAGUCUUCUUAAAAUAGCUGCAAUUAGAAAUCUGGUAAAUUGGGAAAUAAUAGCAGUGAACUCUUUCUGAUAGCCCAAAGUUUCUCUCUAAUUUAGGUAAGCUCACAGCUUGCUUGCAUUUAAUUAAUCUAUCUAUCUAUCUAUCUAUCUAUCUAUCUAUCUAUCUAUCUAUCUAUUUUUACCUAGACAAGCAGUCUCCCUGUUAUGGAAUAUGUUAACUUUUAGGUACUUUAUAGAACUCUGAUGAUGUAUAUAAAGGUACAAACUUUUCAUCAGCUUUGCUUUAGGAUUCACAAGUGUUAUUUUGGAAAUUGUGAGGAUGGAGGAAAGUCUGUAUGCAAACAUUGAUUAUUUCCGUUACUCCUGUGCACAAGAAGUUUUGCUAGAAGGAUGUAUGUGGGCCUAAAUGAAAUGUAGUUUAAGUACUAAUCACUCUAAUAUGAUACUUCACGUUUAGUCCAAGGAUUUUUCAAAAAGAUAUGUUUUCC